AACAUCAAUAUUAAUUUAAUGACAUUCCAUAAGAAUAAAAAUCCAAUAGGACCAAGAUCUUAGCAGUUCACACCCGGUCAGAGGGACAAAAUUGAGAACCAUGCAGAUCAGCAAGUGUGAGUUACACUCUAAUGAGGAACAGGACAUCUGAAUAAAAAUUGGAAAAUUGCAAGGUUUCCCACUGCCCAAGCUGUUUAAGUACCGGUAUCACAACAAGUACCAAGACGGAAGAAAUAUGAAGGCCAAGUUAAUAAGUAGUUACUUCAAAUUAAUUUGAAUAGAUAUAUCAACAAAGCAUUGAAUGUUCUUUAAACUGCAUAUCUGUAGAAAAGAGUGCAGUACAAGUUCAGGUUCAUCAGCGGGCAAUGACAUUAAAGUAUACAAAAUUUCACACAAAAUACAAGUAAGAAAUAUUUUUUUUCCAAUGGGCAAAUGUAUUACCUUUUAUUAAUAUUUAAUACUUCUACUAGUUCUUAGAAAUUUUUGUGAAAUUAAAUAUAAUUUCCAGUUUAAAGGCCUAUUGUAUACAAGACAAAAAUUUAUAUUUUGAAAUAAAAAUCAUGCGUAGAUAAAUGUUAAUAAAGGUGAUCAGAGGAUUAAGAAAUAAUUUUAGUAUCAUUCCUGGGCCUCAUUUCAUAAACAAGUUAUUACUAUUGUAAUCUUGUCACUAUGACAAUUACCAUGGUAACAGGGCUGAGCAAGAAAUCAAGGUUUUUAUGGAAGCUGCAAUGGGCUUGGACAAAGUUACCAUAAUUGCAAGUCUUCAUAUAAUGGCUGAAUAAUUAUGUAGGAAUAUUAAAU
Molecule: long non-coding RNA, 801 nt
Organism: Lytechinus variegatus (green sea urchin)
Lineage: Eukaryota; Metazoa; Echinodermata; Echinoidea; Temnopleuroida; Toxopneustidae
Exons: 3
Source: RefSeq, a predicted model, not a curated record